Podarcis muralis (Common wall lizard) is the source of this 772-nucleotide non-coding RNA. NCBI's taxonomy places the organism in Eukaryota, Metazoa, Chordata, Lepidosauria, Squamata, Lacertidae. The record is from RefSeq and is a predicted model, not a curated record.
GGAGAGGGCGCAUGCGCCUUCCACCCGCCCGCUCGCUCGCUUGCCGGCCGGCCUCCCGGUUCCGUCGCCGUCCCGUCAUUCCCAGCGGGGAGCAAUAGAGUGGGAGUCGCUGGCGGGCUCUAGAGCGGCGCAAGGCCGAUGAUGUCGGAGAAGAAACAGCCCGUCGACUUGGGGCUCUUGGAGGAGGACGACGAGUUCGAGGAGUUCCCGGCCGAAGACUGGGCUGGUUUAGAUGAAGAUGAAGAUGCACAUGUGUGGGAAGACAAUUGGGAUGAUGACAAUGUGGAAGAUGAUUUCUCCAAUCAGCUAAGAGCUGAAUUAGAAAAACACGGCUACAAGAUGGAAACCUCAUAGCUUUCAGUGAUGCUGUGGUCUGGGAUGGGACUGCUGUAUAUUGAACAGAGAAAUGUUACAGAAUGCUAGCUGGAAGCAGAAAUACUAGAAUGUCCUUUAUUACCCCCCAAAUUUGUUUUUGUUUUGUAUGAAUAAAAAAAUGAAUCUUAAAGGGUUUUGUAUUGUCAGUAUUGUUCAACUUCAUUUCUGAAUUACUAGUAUGUACAAAAAUAAUAUUGUCAGCUAUACUAAGUCUGGGUUCAUUAUAAUGUUGACUUUCUUUACAUGAUACUUGAAGUCCACAGAAGCAGAGUGAAUUGAAGGUUUCAGACAUUUUAUCACUUUAUAUCAGAACUAGAGAAAAACUGCUGUAGUUAUUGUUUACCACUUUGGGAGGAAGAGCAGGACAGAAGUUUAAUAAACAAGUCUUAUACCGAAA